GUGGGAACGCGGCCGCGGACCUGGUACCCCAGAGCAGCGAGCGGGUGGGGAGCAGCCGGGGCGAGAAUGAGCGCAAUCUUGCUAACCCCUGCGGAGGGAGCGCGCGGGCGCCAACGCGGGCGCGCGGGGGCGGGCCCUGGACCUGGACCUUGGGUUUCGGCCCUCCUCCGCGCCCCGCGGUCUCGCGGGCGAAGUUUCAGUCCUGAGUGUAAAGAAUAACCCCAAGCGCGUGGCUAAGUGCGAGCAGGCGCGUGUGACGUCGGGAGGCGCCGCGGCUCCUCGGCCGCCCCACUCGGUGGUCCCCUGUCUGGAUCCAAACUGCUGACUGGCUGACCCGAGUGGUCACAUUUGCCCUCUGGGGCUUUUGAAAACCUUAAAUCAAAAUUGCUUUUGAAUCUGACAACUCCUGAGGCUACUUUCGCGGCCUCGGGGCUGUUUCAUAUAAGGACGCGAGUUUUCCUGAUCAGGAACAAAAACGGAGGCACAGAGAGGUCAAUUGAUUGGUCUAAUGACACAGAUCUAGCAAGUGGUGGAACCAGGACUGAAUCCAGAGAAUCUGGAAGACUACUCUGCCAAGACAUCUCAAAAAGUGUGUGUCCGGAAUUGGUGGGUUCUUGGUCUCACUGACUUCAAGAAUGAAGCCGCGGACCCUUGCGGAACUGUGAAGACUAGAGUGACCUUGGAGAUCUCAUCUGGAAGAUGGUAGAACUGCUAUCAGCCUGGCUUCCCAAAUGACCUCCUGGAUCACAGCUACCCAUGGCCUGAAAUGUUGACCUUGGAGUUGUUGCAUAGGAAAGAAAUAAACUUCUUUGUUCUUUGAGCCACAUAGUUAUCACAUAUCUUCUUAAAGCCACUUACCCACUUGUUCUAUCUCAUUCAGCUCUGAAAUUCUGUUUAAUUUCUAGAGUCAAAACAUUCAUUUGUUUCUUCUUUAUUUAACAAGAAUCAAUUACUUAUUUUAUGGAAGCCACUAUUCCAAAGAGAAGAAUCAUAAAAACAUUAGCCUUAUGGAUCUUUUGUCCUGGGAACAACACAGAGUGGAGACUACUGGAAUUUUUAAUAAAGUUCCUUUCCUGGGCAGUGCCAGUCCAGACCUAAUUUCCAGACUUAGUUAAGAUUAGACCAGUGUGCUGAAGAAUCAAAACAUCUAGAUAUUUUCCUUGCUCCAUUCUGCUUACAGCCCCACAAAAACUACUCACCCCACAGGGUUUCUUGCUUGAGAUUCCAGACAAUUCCUGUAUGUUUUAUUAGAAUACACUCUGUGUUUCAUCCAACUAGGAAGCCUUUGGCUCCGACUUAAAGCAUUAAGAACGGACCACUUUGGUAUGGAAAAUUAUCAGUUUUGGGGGAAAAGCCCCUGUUUCUCUGAUCUGUGCUCUGAAUUUGGCAGCUUUGUAGGCUUUCUCAAAGAGCCGCAACUGUGAACCAUGUCAUGUUGUCAUUAUCUCUGAUAUGCUCUGUGCAUUGGAAAUCCUGUGUGAGACUGGCAGGGGACAGAGGGAAUGAAGAAAUCACAUUCAUCAGAACAAGCUGCUCAACUUCCUUAAGUAAGGAGUUUGUCUAACAUCCAGUGGUUUCCUCUGACAGAGUGUGUACUUUCUUAACAUACGGACAAGAUUAGUACAUAGCCAGAAUGACUGUCUGCAGGUCCUAGGCUGCUUUUCAGAGGCAGCUUUAAUCUUCCUAAUUGAAUAUUUAGCUUUUCUAGGCCUGCACAAAAUGUAAAUCACAAUGUUUACAAUCUGUGAAAUAAUAGGAGAGUACAUAAUGUCAUUGCAAUAUUUUGUAAUCACUGUUAAAUGACUAAAAUCUAUUAAACUCAAUCAUUUUAAAUUAAACUUCUAAACUUCCCCA
Molecule: long non-coding RNA, 1854 nt
Filed under: Homo sapiens (human)
Lineage: Eukaryota; Metazoa; Chordata; Mammalia; Primates; Hominidae
Description: HEY2 antisense RNA 1, transcript variant 2 (HEY2-AS1)
Source: RNAcentral